Molecule: transfer RNA, 88 nt
Filed under: Betaproteobacteria bacterium SG8_39
Lineage: Bacteria; Pseudomonadati; Pseudomonadota; Betaproteobacteria
Also listed under: 1 other name
Description: tRNA-Ser
Rfam family: tRNA
About the family: Transfer RNA (tRNA) molecules are approximately 80 nucleotides in length. Their secondary structure includes four short double-helical elements and three loops (D, anti-codon, and T loops). Further hydrogen bonds mediate the characteristic L-shaped molecular structure. tRNAs have two regions of fundamental functional importance: the anti-codon, which is responsible for specific mRNA codon recognition, and the 3' end, to which the tRNAs corresponding amino acid is attached (by aminoacyl-tRNA synthetases). tRNAs cope with the degeneracy of the genetic code in two manners: having more than one tRNA (with a specific anti-codon) for a particular amino acid; and 'wobble' base-pairing, i.e. permitting non-standard base-pairing at the 3rd anti-codon position.
Source: RNAcentral
GGAAGGGUGGCAGAGUGGUCGAAUGCACCGGUCUUGAAAACCGGCAAGGCGCAAGCCUUCGAGGGUUCGAAUCCCUCCCCUUCCGCCA